CCUACGGGAGGCAGCAGUGAGGAAUAUUGCACAAUGGGGGGAACCCUGAUGCAGCAACGCCGCGUGAGGGAAGACGGUUUUAGGAUUGUAAAAUUCUGUUCUUAGUGAGGAAUCAUGACGGUCGCGAAGAAGCAAGCCGCGGCUAAAUACAUGCCAGCAGCCGCGGUAAUACGUAGGUGGCAAGUGUUGUCCGGAAUUACUGGGGGUAAAGGGAGCGCAGGCGGGAAGUCCAGUCCGCUGUGAAAGCUACGGGCUUAACUCGUAGACCGCAGUUGAAACUGGUUUUCUUGAGUGAAGUAGAGGCUGGCGGAAUUCCGAGUGUAGCGGUGAAAUGCGUAGAUAUUAGGAGGAACCCCGGUGGCGAAGGCGGCCAACUGGGCUGCAACUGACGCUGAGGCUCGAAAGUGUGGGGAGCAAACAGGAUUAGAUACCCUAGUAGUC
This 441-nucleotide ribosomal RNA is filed under the name uncultured bacterium. RNAcentral's name for it is "partial 16S ribosomal RNA". It matches the Rfam family "Bacterial small subunit ribosomal RNA", at positions 338 to 795 of the family's 1533-position model. The record is from RNAcentral.